CCAUCGGUGGUUCAGUGGUAGAAUGCUCGCCUGCCACGCGGACGGCCCGGGUUCGAUUCCUGGCCGAUGCA
This 71-nucleotide transfer RNA is filed under the name Cordylochernes scorpioides. Its description in RNAcentral is "tRNA-Gly". It matches the Rfam family "tRNA". Rfam says of the family: Transfer RNA (tRNA) molecules are approximately 80 nucleotides in length. Lineage: Eukaryota; Metazoa; Arthropoda; Arachnida; Pseudoscorpiones; Chernetidae. The record is from RNAcentral.